RNAcentral lists this ribosomal RNA (780 nucleotides) under uncultured bacterium. RNAcentral describes it as "bacterial SSU rRNA". It matches the Rfam family "Bacterial small subunit ribosomal RNA", at positions 8 to 796 of the family's 1533-position model. The record is from RNAcentral.
AGAGUUUGAUCCUGGCUCAGGACGAACGCUGGCGGCGUGCUUAACACAUGCAAGUCGAACGAGGUCCAUCCGGUAGAAAUACCGGUGAAGACCGAGUGGCGAACGGGUGCGUAACACGUGAGCAACCUGCCCCGAAGACCGGGAUAACAGCGGGAAACCGCUGCUAAUACCGGAUAUCCCCACCGGAUCGCAUGAUUUGAUGAGGAAAUGGAUUCCGCUUCGGGAGGGGCUCGCGGCCUAUCAGCUAGUUGGUGAGGUAACGGCCCACCAAGGCAUCGACGGGUAGCUGGUCUGAGAGGACGAUCAGCCACACUGGGACUGAGACACGGCCCAGACUCCUACGGGAGGCAGCAGUGGGGAAUCUUGCGCAAUGGGCGAAAGCCUGACGCAGCAACGCCGCGUGAGGGAUGACGGUCUUCGGAUUGUAAACCUCUUUCAAGCAGGGACGAUAAUGACGGUACCUGCAGAAGAAGCUCCGGCCAACUACGUGCCAGCAGCCGCGGUAAUACGUAGGGAGCGAGCGUUGUCCGGAAUCAUUGGGCGUAAAGAGCUCGUAGGCGGUUUGGUAAGUCGGAUGUGAAACCUCCAGGCUCAACCUGGAGCCGCCAUCCGAUACUGCCAUGACUAGAGUCCGGUAGGGGCCCACGGAACUCCUGGUGUAGCGGUGAAAUGCGCAGAUAUCAGGAAGAACACCGGUGGCGAAGGCGGUGGGCUGGGCCGGUACUGACGCUGAGGAGCGAAAGCGUGGGGAGCGAACAGGAUUAGAUACCCUGGUAGUCC